Molecule: long non-coding RNA, 676 nt
Organism: Crotalus tigris (Tiger rattlesnake)
Lineage: Eukaryota; Metazoa; Chordata; Lepidosauria; Squamata; Viperidae
Exons: 3
Source: RefSeq, a predicted model, not a curated record
CUGUCGGCUUUGAGAGAGGAGGGAAGAGAGGAAGAAGUGGGUGGGGUUGGUGGAGAAGGCGGGGUCGUUGCACGCCAGGGCCGGAGGAUAAUGCACGGGGGCGGGCGCGCGCGCGCGCGUUCUCGUUCGGUGGAUGGUGGUCUCCUCUCCGCUUUUCAGCAAAAUGCGAGCGUCUGCCGGUGGGGUAGGGGAACUGUAUGCGUGUUGCAAACUACGGAACACGCCGAGACUGCAGCCAAGCGUUGGCUCUGUCUACAGUCUCUUGGGGUCGUGCGAAUCCUUUGCAACCCAAAUAUGUUCGAACUGUGGUUUCCAACGUUUAUGGAUAACGGUCCCUCCGAGUCUUGGACUUUAUUUACUCGGUGGAUUUAAAAUAUUUCUAAGGCUGUUUCGGAUUGCACCGGCAGACACAAGUGAGCGUGUUAUUGUGUAGCUCCAACAUAUGCACACCAGAUGGCAGCAGCUGAUUUUGAAAGAAAAAUGGGAGAUGACCAGGCUGAGCCCAAGGGAGGAGUCAAACAUGUCAUCAGUCACGAGUCCCUGCAUGCCUACAAGAUAUAUAAGUCCAGCCUAUCUCGAAUUCCUUUCUUAACUCCUGCUAAUUUCCUUUGACCAUUAGUAGUUCAUAUUCUUGCAGAGAACUUAAGCUUGCAAUAAAUCUUUAUACUCAUUUGAA